RNAcentral lists this ribosomal RNA (361 nucleotides) under uncultured bacterium. Its description in RNAcentral is "partial 16S ribosomal RNA". It matches the Rfam family "Bacterial small subunit ribosomal RNA", at positions 338 to 696 of the family's 1533-position model. The record is from RNAcentral.
CCUACGGGUGGCUGCAGUGAGGAAUAUUGGUCAAUGGUCGGGAGCCUGAACCAGCCAAGCCGCGUGAGGGAUGAAGUUACAGAGUAUCGUAAACCUCUUUUGUCAGGGAACAAAGGCGGGGACGUGUCCCCGUAUGACUGUACCUACAGAAAAAGCAUCGGCUAACUCCGUGCCAGCAGCCGCGGUAAUACGGAGGAUGCGAGCGUUAUCCGGAUUUAUUGGGUUUAACGGGUGCGCAGGCGGUCUGUUAAGUCAGCGGUCAAAGCCCGGGGCUCAACCCCGGGCCCGCUGUGGAAACUGGAAGUCUCGAGUGGGAGAGAAGUAGGCGGAAUGCGUGGUGUAGCGGUGAAAUGCAUAGAUA